RNAcentral lists this ribosomal RNA (429 nucleotides) under Chloroflexota bacterium. RNAcentral describes it as "Chloroflexi bacterium partial 16S ribosomal RNA". It matches the Rfam family "Bacterial small subunit ribosomal RNA", at positions 355 to 776 of the family's 1533-position model. Lineage: Bacteria; Bacillati; Chloroflexota. The record is from RNAcentral.
UGGGGAAUAUUGCACAAUGGGCGCAAGCCUGAUGCAGCCAUGCCGCGUGUAUGAAGAAGGCCUUCGGGUUGUAAAGUACUUUCAUCGGGGCGGAAGGGAGUAAAGUUAAUACCUUUGCUCAUUGUCGUUACCCGCAGAAGAAGCCCCGGCUAACUCCGUGCCAGCAGCCGCGGUAAUACGGAGGGUGCAAGCGUUAAUCGGAAUUACUGGGCGUAAAGCGCACGCAGGCGGUUUGUUAAGUCAGAUGUGAAAUCCCCGGGCUCAACCUGGGAACUGCAUCUGAUACUGGCAAGCUUGAGUCUCGUAGAGAGGGGUAGAAUUCCAGGUGUAGCGGUGAAAUGCGUAGAGAUCUGGAGGAAUACCGGUGGCGAAGGCGGCCCCCUGGACGAAGACUGACGCUCAGGUGCGAAAGCGUGGGGAGCAAACAGG